Molecule: long non-coding RNA, 5588 nt
Filed under: Nicotiana tabacum (common tobacco)
Lineage: Eukaryota; Viridiplantae; Streptophyta; Magnoliopsida; Solanales; Solanaceae
Description: long non-coding RNA (NTAB_LNC004093)
Source: RNAcentral
AAAAACCCCAAUUUCACAAACCCUAGAGGGGUCGACUAACUGAAGGACCCUUAAGCCUAAAAAGCAGCAGAUCCCCUCUCUAAGAGGGAACCCUACUUAAUUCUCUCAUACAAAAGAGAGAAGCAGCCGAAGACUCUAACCUACACAAAGCAGCUGCCUCCCUUGAAAACCCUUUAUCUCUCUCGUUAUUCUGUCACCGGUGAAUCAGCCACCUACCACCACCUCCCUGGACAUCGCCAGCGACCAUUCUCACCCUCAGCUCCGUCUCAAAUGUCGGAGAUCCCAUUAAAAACGACCAUUUUUAGUUGUUACUUAUAGAUUCCAUUCAGAUCUGACCGAAAACGUGUAGCUCCGGCGACCCUUCAUUGAAUCCGGUGAAACAAAGCUCAAACCUAGCAGUAAACCCAGCUCCAAAAAUGCUCUAAAACUACAUCAAAUCAGUGUGAAAAUCAUCCCAAAAUCGUCGUCUAACUCAUUCGAUUUGAAUCGUUCUAGGCUCCGUUACCGGUUCGAGGUUCAGGUCAUUAGCUCGUUUUUGGUAUGCUGCAUCAGAGAUUUUCUUUCAUUGUAUACAUUGAAGAAUAUGCAACAAUAAAGGGGCCUUAAGGUUUUCAAUAAUAGAGAAUGAGUUAUUGUAAAUUCAGUUUCAUAUGCUAUCUGCGUCAUCUUAGCAGACCAAACUAAGGUACUGUUCCUCGUUAUGGUUAGUGAUUAAUUCAUAGCUUCUUGCACUGAUUUUUUCGUGUUAACCGUUGCUCUCUGUUUUCGUUUGGAUUGCUUUAGCUUUUUUUCUCUGUGAAUUUCGUACUUUGGCUGCAGUGUCCACUAGUUUGAAAGAUCUUCUUUUGGUAUUUUGCUUGGUUUUGCUAUAGGGUUUCUCUAACAAUAAACAAAUGAAUUUUACUUUUAGCAAAAGUUUGUCUACAAUAGCAUACAAAAUAAGAGAAUCCUUUUCAGCAAUACUAAAACCAGGACAUUUUGAAUUCACAAUCGAUAUCAUAUAGAGUGGAGUAAAAUAAUAAUAACAAACUGAAAUAUGUCAUAAAGUUUUGUUUAGUGGAGUCACUUCACUAAAAAGAUCGGUUUGCAAGCAGCUUAGUAAGAAACAAAACAUGUUGUUGGCGAAUUUGCAAAACUAGUAAAGGAAGCUAGUAAUAGUAUCAUAUUGUUGUUGUUGCAUCAUACUGUUAUGAUAUGCAUCCAGCAUUUCUAUCAUUUAUUUAAAUCAUAAAAUGUUAUUAAUUUUGUAUACGUUCGUGUGAUACGAAUACAAUUUAAAAAUGAAUAUUCAUAGGCAAUUCUUUAGGCGCGACUUAAUCUAUCAUCAUGAUUGUGUACACGUUCGCGUGACAUAGUUACGAUUUUUAAAAUAAAGUGAAGUACGUGUUCGCGCGACUUUGGCCAAGCUUUUCUUAAAAUAAUUAAGUGCUGUGAAAUAUGUACACGUACGUGUAGCAUGAUUCUUGACGCGCUGAACGAAAUGAGUACACUUACACGUGACAUGUUUUAAGAUAAUUCCAUAAUCGCGAAUAAUUAAGUAAUUAAAAGCGUUAAAAGGUAAAAUAUACAUAGGUCUUAAAAGUGAGUAAUUAAAUAAUUUAAGCUAGGUAUGAUUAGAGCGACCAUGCUAAAACCACAAAAUUUGGGAAUGCCUAAUACCUUCUCCCGGAUUAACAAAAUUCCUUACUUGGUCUUCUGGUUUCACAAACUUUAAAACAGAGUCAAUUUUCCUCAAUUUGGGAUUUAAAAUAAACCGGUAACUCUGGACACCAUAAAUAUUUCAAGUGGCGACUUUGAAAUGAAAUAAACAAUCCCAUUUCGAUUAGUGUCAUUUUAAUUGGAAAAACUCCCUAUUCCUUUGGGGAAAAAGGUGGUGUGACAACUCUGGCGUCUCUGUUGGGGAUCAAACCCAAAAUCUCUGGUUCAGGGUUCAGAAUUCGAGCUUGUAAUAUAAUUUAUACUUGGCUUUAUUGUUUGUUGGUAGUACUAUAUUUGUGGGCUUAAUGUGCUAAUUAUCGCUCAUUUAUCGCUUUGAUAUUAUUUUAAUUGUAUUAAACUGUCUUCUUACGCAUCCUUUCUGAGUCUUCUAAAAAUAUGGUGCACACGUACGGUGGCCCACUUUUCUAUUAGAGGUCAUACCAAAUAGAACGAGGCUGGAUCAGCAACUAGGCUUGGUAGACUUUCGUGUUCCCGAUACAUUGCCCCUACCUUGGCUCGAGCUGUCCUCUUGGGUAAGCCCUGUCUAGAACACACCCCUAGGUUUUAAACCUAGAAUAACAUAGCCUCAUGCUAGAUCCCCAAUAAGAAUGUUUAUUUGCAUCACGUGCAUUUGGCUUUGGGGACUCAACACAGGGGUUGAGUCCGUCAAGGACAGGUGUACCCAAAAAUAAAAGACAAUCCUGAUGCAUCCUAUGUGCUACAUGUUGUAUUCUUCAAGGGUAAAAAGGUUAUUUGGCGGACCAAUGAUGGUUGAGGGUAAAUGAGAAAGAAAAGAGGGUGAAGUGUGAAAAUGAAGCAAGUAGGGCCCAUUUAUGUUUUUCUUUCACAAUUUUUUAAGAAAAAGACAAAAAAAAUAAAAAUAAAAAAUUCAAAAAGAUUUUGCACUUUCCCAUCAUUUUUUUUAAAAAAGGCAAAUAUAUUUCUCCAAAUCAGUUGUUUUUUAAUUCUCGCCCGUAUCCAAUCUUCCCGAGCUAUGCAUACCUGAUUCUCAUCUUUCGCGGUGGGAUACUGUGACGAUCCGACAGGUCGUCUUAGGAAUUAAUGCCCCGAUUCCCUAUUAACUGCUUUUCCCAAGUUUAUUUAUGCUAUUUUGAUUUGCCGGAAUGUUCGGUUUUAAGUUUCGGAGACUUUUGGGACACCUAGUCCCUAAAUGAGAGCUUAAGUGUUGGAAAGUUGACCGUAGUCGGAACAGUAUAAAAAUGGCCUCGGAAUGGAAAUCCAAUGAUUCUGUUAGCUCUAUUAGGUGAUUUCGGGCUUAGGGUCGUGUUCGGAUUAUGUUUUGGAGGUUCGUAGCUAAUUUAGGCUUGAAAUGCCGAACGUUGAAUUUUUGAAGUUUGCAGUUCGAUAGUGAGAUUUUGAUCCUAGGGUCGGAAUGGAAUUCCAAUAGUUGAAGUAGUUCCGUUAUGUCAUUUGGGAUGUGUGUGCAAAAUUUCAGGUCAUUCGGAGGUGGUUUAGUUGGGUUUUGAUCAAAAACGUGAUUCGGAAGAUUUUGGAAGACUUAGGCUUGAAUCCGAUGUGUUUUGGUUGAUUUGAUGUCGUUUGAGGUCCUUUGAAGAUUUGUACAACUUUUGAUAAGGUUUUAGGAUAUGUUGGUGCCUUUGGUUGCUGUCUUGUGGGCCUCGGGUGUGUUUUAGAUGCUCAACGGAUCAUUUUUAGUUGUUAAAAAGUUGCAGAUUUUGUUCAGCUAUUGUAGAGGAAUUGUACCCUUCGCGUUUGCGAUGGGACCCUCGCGUUCGUGAAGAGUUAGUUGAGGAAGGCAAAUGUUAAGCCUUCGCUUUCGCGAUGGGAGCUCCACGUUCGUGAAGGGCUGAAUACUUGUGAACCGCAUUCGCGACUGGGCUUCGCGUUCGCGAAGGAGGAAAUUUGGCCCAGAAGAAUUUACUCAUCGCGUUCGCGGAGGUUAGCCGGGUAAAGCAUCACGAUCGUGAGGGCCUUGUUGCGUUCGCGUAAGAGGACUUUUAGUUAACGUCAUUUUUGUGCUUCCCGAACGCGAGGGUUUGACCGCGUUCGCGAAGAAGGAAUUAAAUGCUUGGGCAGAAUGUUUUAAAAGGUUUAUUUCGCGAAUUUUAGCCUAGGUUCCUCCAUUGUUAGGCGAUUUUGAAGCUUUUUGAAGAGGGUUGAAGAGGGAUUCAAGGGGAAUCACUUGGAGGUAACAUUUUUGACUUCAUAACUCAUUUUUUUGUAAUUAAAGACCUAAUUAGUGGUGGAAAAUUUGGGAAAAAAUGGGUAAUUAGGGCUUGAGUUUAAGUGACCUUUAAAUGAGAAUUUGAGGGGUCAUUUGGACUCCGAUUUCAGUGUUUUUUGUUAUGUAUAGAUUCGUGAGAUUAUGAGAUUUCUAAAAAUAUAAAUUUCACCCGAUUUCGAGACGCGAGCCCGAGGGGCAUUUUGGUCAUUUUACAUAAUUUCGCGUAUUAGCUUAGAGUUAAUUGUGGAAUCAGUUACUUGAAGUGUUAUUUACAUUAUGCAAUUAAAUUGAAUAGAUUUGGGCCAUUUGGAGUCUAGUACUCGCGGGAAGAACGUGGUCUCGAGUUGAUUUUGAGCCGGUUCAAGGUAAGUGUCUUGUCUAACCUUGUGUGAGGGACCUUCCCCUUAGGAUUGAUAUAUUUGGUAAUUGAAAUGCCUUGUACGUGAGAUGACGAGUGCGUACUUGUGCAAAUUGUUGAAAAUCCGAUUUUUUUAAGUACUUAUUAGUAUGUUCCUUCUCCUACUUUUAUUACUUGUACUAUUAAGCCUGUUGUUAGCUUAGGAAAGUAUGUCUAAGUGAUUUAAUUGUUUUAAAUGUUCAAUAAAACAAUUAAUAUUAGUAUGUUCCGUCUCCUGCUUUUAAUAUGUUUACCUGAACUCUGUGCAGCAAGCUAGGCUAGGAUUAUUUGUUGCCUUAAAUAUGAAAUUUCCCUUCUCUGAAUAUUUUCUUGUUGUUGCUGCUGUGUAUUUAAUUGAGACUAUGGAUGUAGGGUGAUAGAUCCCCCUGCACAGUUAUAUGGAACUACGGGAAUGCACCCAGUAGAUUCUCCCAGUACUGGGUAUUUACAUUUGGGACUACGGAUCGGGAUUCCGGUUUCCCGCGCAUUGAUAGUUGGACUAUGGGACGGGAUCUCGGGAGAUCCUUCGGACAUAUAUAUGAUGGACUAUAGGACGGUAUCCAGGGAGAUCCACUGGAUAGUUGUAAUUGGGACUACGGGACGGUAUCCUGGAAGGUGCCCCGGUUGUGAUCUAUGUGUUGAGCUAUAUUUCUUCUGUGGUUUGUUUGUCUCUGUUCUAAUUGUUGUUGUUCUUUCAAUUCUAUGCUAUUUCUUACUGAUGUACUUAAUUAUACUGUUUUAUCUCAUACUGUUAACCCUUAUAUUUUAUUUAACCUCAGUAGGGCCCUGACCUUCCUCGUCACUACCCGACCGAGGUUAGGCUUGACAUUUAUUGAGUACCGCUGUAAUGUACUCAUGCCCCUUCUGCGCAUGUUUUUCAUGUGCAGAUCCAGGUACCUCUACUCAGGCUUACCAUUCUUGAGGCAAGGCGAUUCUACGGGACUUCAAGGUAUAUCUAUCACGUCCGCAGACCGAGAAGUCUCCUUCUAUUCCUGCAUGAAGUAUUUAGCCCUUCUAUACUUUUGUUAUUGCUAGACAUUCCGGAGAUUAGAGUUAUGUAAUGUUUUUCUUAGCUUGUGGAUACAUGAGUUUCUAGGUUUUGGGAUAGUGUAUCAGAUUUUGAGAAGUUAUGUGUAUAUGCCGAGCGACAUUUAAAUAUUAUUUCCUUCAGUUAUUCUUAGCUUUUGAUUAUUUAUUCUGCAAGAUGGUUCAUUUUCUGCAUUUGUUAGGCUUACCUAGUCGUAGAGACUAGGUGCCGUCACGAUAGUUCACGGAGGAUAAAUUGGG